UUGGGGAGCCCACCAAGACGGACUUAGCCACGGCGAUGGCAAAAGCACUAAAGUGCGUAAAAGAAGAGUACCGCCGCCGGAAGGCCAAGCGUGCUGCUGGCAUACCCUUGGAAAAUGGGCCACCCCUACAAAGAAGGAGGGUCGAGGAGGCCAAAAAUAAUGGAAUCGACGACGGCGACGAGCUCGGUGACGACGAGCCUGGCGGCGGCGAAGUUGGAGAUGGCGGUCUUGGCAACGGCGAGGUCGAAGACGGUAAGGUUGGAGACGUCCGCGGGCUUGGCAAUGACGAGUUUGGCGACGGGCGGGACCAUCACUGACGGCUACGGCGAGAUUAGCGACGGAGACUUCGGCGGCGACGAGAACGACAUCUUCGGCGACGGGAACGACACCGAGGAACCUGGCGUUGGCGAGCAAGAAGACGACGAAAACGAGAUCGGCAAUGAUGACGGCUAGUACGGCGAUGACGCUGGCGAAGGCGAGUACGGCGAUGACGACGACGAGAGCGACCGCACUGCCCUUGUCAGCGAUCACGACGAGGAACGCAGCAACGAUCCUGAUAACGCUGCAAUUUUUGAGUAUUUAUUUAUAAAUAAAAGAUAACUGUGUUCAUCACCAAAAAAAAAAAAAAUAUUUGAAAAAUAAUGUAUUUUUCUAAAUAAAAUAAAAAUGUUUCGAAUAUA
Nasonia vitripennis (jewel wasp) is the source of this 680-nucleotide RNA transcript. RefSeq lists it as uncharacterized. The record is from RefSeq and is a predicted model, not a curated record. Lineage: Eukaryota; Metazoa; Arthropoda; Insecta; Hymenoptera; Pteromalidae. The transcript is spliced from 3 exons.